RNAcentral lists this ribosomal RNA (456 nucleotides) under Mycobacterium sp. FI05198. RNAcentral describes it as "bacterial SSU rRNA". It matches the Rfam family "Bacterial small subunit ribosomal RNA", at positions 35 to 516 of the family's 1533-position model. The record is from RNAcentral. Lineage: Bacteria; Bacillati; Actinomycetota; Actinomycetes; Mycobacteriales; Mycobacteriaceae.
GCUGGCGGCGUGCUUAACACAUGCAAGUCGAACGGACCCUUUGGGGUUAGUGGCGAACGGGUGAGUAACACGUGGGUGAUCUGCCCUGCACUUUGGGAUAAGCCUGGGAAACUGGGUCUAAUACCGGAUAGGACUACGCACUGCAUGGUGUGUGGUGGAAAGCUUUUGCGGUGUGGGAUGGGCCCGCGGCCUAUCAGCUUGUUGGUGGGGUGAUGGCCUACCAAGGCGACGACGGGUAGCCGGCCUGAGAGGGUGACCGGCCACACUGGGACUGAGAUACGGCCCAGACUCCUACGGGAGGCAGCAGUGGGGAAUAUUGCACAAUGGGCGCAAGCCUGAUGCAGCGACGCCGCGUGAGGGAUGACGGCCUUCGGGUUGUAAACCUCUUUCGCCAGGGACGAAGCGCAAGUGACGGUACCUGGAGAAGAAGGACCGGCCAACUACGUGCCAGCAGCC